AUGGCGGAGGACGGCGAGGAGAAGCUGCUGGCCACGGUGCAGCACAUCGCCAAGACCCUGGGCCGCACCGGCACCAUGACGGAGGACAUACUCAAGGUCUUCUCCAACUACGACGGCCGCCUCUCCCUCGACAAGCUCUACGCCGCGGCGGCCGCUGCCGGUGGAGGAGGAGGAGGAGGGGGGGCCGGGGAGCACUCGAUGUCGAUGCCGGCCUCCUCGCCCCCGCCCGUGCUGCCCUCGGCCGCGGCGGCGCACUCGAUGCCGGCGCCGGUCACGUCGCUGGAGCGGACCGUGCGCACCCUGGACCGGCAGAUCUCGCAGUUCGUGACCAUGGAGAGGCUCGUCUGGGCCGACUCCGCCGACGCCGACGCCUUCCUGGAGGCGGUGGACGACCUCAUCGGCACCGUGCAGGAGCUGGACGCGGUGGGGACCAACCGCGGCCUGCUCGACCGCGCCGACGAGCUGCUCAGCCGUUGCAUGGCCCGGCUGGAGGACGAGUUCCGGGCGCUUAUCGAGCGCCCCGACGGCGCGGCCCCGGCGGCGCCCGGCGGGUUCGACUCCGAGCAGAGCGACGACGAGGACUACGAUGCGGACGACGGCUAUGGCGACGAGCCAAUCCCUAUCGCCAAGCCGGUCACGGACUUCGACGUGGUCAUCGACGCCCUGCCCCCGGGGUCCGUCUCCGACGUGCACCAGAUCGCGCGGAGGAUGGUGGACGCGGGCUUCGGCCGCGAGUGCGCCGAGGCCUACGCGGCCGCGCGCCGCGGGUUCAUCGACGAGAGCGUCGCGCGCCUCGGCAUCCGCUCGCGCACCUCGGACGAGGUCCACUCCUUGCCCUGGGAGGAGCUCGAGUUCGACAUUGCCCGGUGGAUCCCGGCCUUCAAGAUGGUGUUCCGCAUCCUCAUCCCCAGCGAGCGCCGCCUCUCCGACCGUGUCUUCGAGGGCCUCGCCCCCUACGGCGACCUCGCCUUCGUCGCCGCGGUUCGCACCCAGGCGCUGCAGCUCAUCUCGUUCGGCGACGCGGUUGCCGCUGCGAGCCGCGCGCCGGAGCGCCUCUUUCGUGUCAUCGACAUGUACGAGGCGGUGCGCGAUCUCCUCCCUGACCUGGACCCUGUUUUCGCCGACCCCUACUCCGCAGCGCUUCGCGCCGAGGUCUCUGCUGUAUGCAACACUCUCGGCUCCUCCAUCAAAGGUAUAUUCAUGGAGCUGGAGAAUCUUAUCCGCCGUGACCCGGCCCGCGUUGCGGUGCCCGGCGGCGGUAUACACCCAAUCACUCGCUAUGUCAUGAACUAUCUCCGUGCGGCAUGUGGUUCGAGACAGACGCUAGAAGAGGUGAUGGAAGGUGACUUGGGUGCUCUUGGCGUGACCGCCAUUGCCGUCGAUCCUGACCGCCCCACUUCGUCGCUUGCUGUGCACAUUGCGUGGAUCAUGGACGUGCUUCACAAGAAUCUAGAGAGCAAAUCCAAGAUAUACAGGGACCCGCCACUGGCCUCCAUCUUCUUGAUGAAUAAUGGCAAGUACGUCAUCCACAAGGUGAAUGACAGUGAGCUUGGGGUUUUACUCGGUGAUGACUGGAUGAAGCAGAUGUUAAGCCGAGUGCGCCGGUGGAGUAUGGAGUACCAGCGCGGGGCUUGGGCGAAGGUGAUGUCGGUGCUGCAGACCGGAGGCUCUGGCUUUUCUGGUCUCCCACCGAAGGCCAUGCUUCAGAAACUUCAGAUGUUCAAUGGCUACUUGGAGGAGAUUCGGGCGGCGCAGUCCGAGUGGGUGAUCACAGAUGAUCAGCUGCGCGCCGAUGUUAAGGCAGCAAUAGCAGAUUCGGUGCUGCCUGCAUAUAAGGGCUUGAUUGCUAGGCUGAGAUCGUCUCCAGAUGCUCCGCAGGAUUUGUUCAUCAAGCAUACCCCAGAGGAUGUUGAGGCAUGCAUCCAACAUUUGUUUGAAGGAAUUGGGAAAUGA
Molecule: ribosomal RNA, 1953 nt
Filed under: Triticum aestivum (bread wheat)
Lineage: Eukaryota; Viridiplantae; Streptophyta; Magnoliopsida; Poales; Poaceae
Description: partial small subunit ribosomal RNA
Source: RNAcentral